AGGGCACCACCAGGAGUGGAGCCUGCGGCUUAAUUUGACUCAACACGGGAAAUCUCACCAGGCCCGGACACCGGAAGGAUUGACAGAUUGAGAGCUCUUUCUUGAUUCGGUGGGUGGUGGUGCAUGGCCGUUCUUAGUUGGUGGAGCGAUUUGUCUGGUUAAUUCCGAUAACGAACGAGACUCUGGCCUACUAAAUAGACGUUAGAUCCCUUUGUGGGUCUAUCGCAGCUUCUUAGAGGGACGGGCGGCGUUCAGCCGCACGAGAUUGAGCAAUAACAGGUCUGUGAUGCCCUUAGAUGUUCUGGGCUGCACGCGCGCUACACUGAAGGAAUCAGCGUGUGUUCCCUGCCCGAAAGGACUGGGAAACCCGUUGAACCUCCUUCGUGAUGGGGAUUGGGGAUUGCAAUUAUUCCCCAUGAACGAGGAAUUCCCAGUAGGCGCGAGUCAUAAGCUUGCGUCGAUUACGUCCCUGCCCUUUGUACACACCGCCCGUCGCUACUACCGAUUGAAUGAUUUAGU
RNAcentral lists this ribosomal RNA (519 nucleotides) under uncultured eukaryote. RNAcentral's name for it is "SSU rRNA". It matches the Rfam family "Eukaryotic small subunit ribosomal RNA", at positions 1161 to 1702 of the family's 1831-position model. The record is from RNAcentral.